This 394-nucleotide ribosomal RNA is filed under the name uncultured bacterium. RNAcentral's name for it is "partial 16S ribosomal RNA". It matches the Rfam family "Bacterial small subunit ribosomal RNA", at positions 523 to 918 of the family's 1533-position model. The record is from RNAcentral.
AUACGGAGGAUGCAAGCGUUAUCCGGAUUUAUUGGGUUUAAAGGGUGCGUAGGCGGAUGAUUAAGCGUGAGGUGAAAUGCCACUGCUCAACAGUGGAACUGCCUCGCGAACUGGUUGUCUUGAAUGCUCCUGCCGUGGGAGGAAUGUGUGGUGUAGCGGUGAAAUGCAUAGAGAUCACACAGGACACCGAUUGCGAAGGCAUCUCACGAAGGGGUGAUUGACGCUGAGGCACGAAAGCGUGGGGAUCAAACAGGAUUAGAUACCCUGGUAGUCCACGCAGUAAACGAUGAUAACUAACCGCUGGGUCGUAGUGAUUCAGUGGCCAAGCGAAAGCGAUAAGUUAUCCACCUGGGGAGUACGACCGCAAGGUUGAAACUCAAAUGAAUUGACGGGG